This 366-nucleotide ribosomal RNA is filed under the name uncultured bacterium. Its description in RNAcentral is "partial 16S ribosomal RNA". It matches the Rfam family "Bacterial small subunit ribosomal RNA", at positions 338 to 701 of the family's 1533-position model. The record is from RNAcentral.
CCUACGGGAGGCAGCAGUGAGGAAUAUUGGUCAAUGGACGAGAGUCUGAACCAGCCAAGUAGCGUGAAGGAUGACUGCCCUAUGGGUUGUAAACUUCUUUUAUAUGGGAAUAAAAUGUUCCACGUGUGGGAUUUUGUAUGUACCAUAUGAAUAAGGAUCGGCUAACUCCGUGCCAGCAGCCGCGGUAAUACGGAGGAUCUGAGCGUUAGCCGGAUUGAUGGGGUGUAAAGGGAGCGUAGGUGGAUUGUUAAGUCAGUUGUGAAAGUUUGCGGCUCAACCGUAAAAUGGCAGGUGAAACUGGCCGUCUUCAGUACCGUCGCGGUGUGCGGCCUUCGUGGUGUAUCGGUGACAUGCUUAGAUCUCACG